CCAAGGCCCAGGAAGUGUCGCCGAGGGUCGAAAAACCGAAAGACGAUUUCCAAUGAAGGAGCUACAUCUUUGGAUGUGGCAGCGGCAAGUCUAGACCAUCUAAAAACAGCACGCGAAGGCCAAGAACAAAAAAAAGACGUCCUGUACUUUUUUGAACCCACGAUAGUUGGAAUGCUUCUCACGCUGCCUUUAGACGACCAGUUAAACAGAAUGCAUGAGGUGCAAAAUUUGGUUCACCAUAAAGUGAAGGAGGUUAAGGAUCGCUAAGAAUUGGAGUAAUUGGAGUGCAAAUAAAGCCUGAAUUUGCCCCGUUUUCACACAA
Long non-coding RNA from Rhipicephalus microplus (southern cattle tick), 322 nucleotides. The record is from RefSeq and is a predicted model, not a curated record. NCBI's taxonomy places the organism in Eukaryota, Metazoa, Arthropoda, Arachnida, Ixodida, Ixodidae.